This 407-nucleotide ribosomal RNA is filed under the name Verrucomicrobiota bacterium. RNAcentral's name for it is "Verrucomicrobia bacterium partial 16S ribosomal RNA". It matches the Rfam family "Bacterial small subunit ribosomal RNA", at positions 355 to 776 of the family's 1533-position model. Lineage: Bacteria; Pseudomonadati; Verrucomicrobiota. The record is from RNAcentral.
UGGGGAAUAUUGGGCAAUGGGCGAAAGCCUGACCCAGCAACGCCGCGUGAAGUAUGAAGGCCUUCGGGUUGUAAACUUCUUUGAUCAGGGAAGAAACAAAUGACGGUACCUGAAAAACAAGCCACGGCUAACUACGUGCCAGCAGCCGCGGUAAUACGUAGGUGGCGAGCGUUAUCCGGAUUUACUGGGUGUAAAGGGAGUGCAGACGGCUGUGCAAGUCUGAAGUGAAAGCCCGCGGCUCAACUGCGGGAUUGCUUUGGAAACUGUGCGGCUUGAGUAUCGGAGAGGUAAGCGGAAUUCCAAGUGUAGCGGUGAAAUGCGUAGAUAUUUGGAGGAACACCGGUGGCGAAGGCGGCUUACUGGACGAAAACUGACGUUGAGGCUCGAAGGCGUGGGGAGCAAACAGG